GGGUCAGUAGGUUGGUCGUGCCACCGGUACGUACUGGUCUCACUGAUUCCUCCUUCCUGAAGAACCGUAAUGCCAUUAAUUUGGUGUUGCGGGGAAACAGGACUGUUACUUUGAAAAAAUUAGAGUGUUUAAAGCAAGCUAACGCUUGAAUACAUCAGCAUGGAAUAAUGAAAUAGGACGAUCGAUCCUAUUUUGUUGGUUCCUAGGAUUGACGUA
RNAcentral lists this ribosomal RNA (216 nucleotides) under Glomeromycotina sp. RNAcentral describes it as "partial small subunit ribosomal RNA". The stretch from base 44 to 216 matches the Rfam family "Eukaryotic small subunit ribosomal RNA", at positions 690 to 864 of the family's 1831-position model. The record is from RNAcentral. Lineage: Eukaryota; Fungi; Glomeromycota.